GAUACGGGACUCAUCCGAGGCCCCGUAAUCGGAAUGAGUACACUUUAAAUCCUUUAACGAGGACCAAUUGGAGGGCAAGUCUGGUGCCAGCAGCCGCGGUAAUUCCAGCUCCAAUAGCGUAUAUUAAAGUUGUUGCGGUUAAAAAGCUCGUAGUUGAAUCUGUGUGUCACGAUGUUGGUUCACCGCUCGCGGUGUUUAACUAGCAUGCCGUGAGACGUCCUACCGGUGGGCUUAGCUCUUCACGGGGCGGUCCAACUAAUAUCCCAUCGCGGUGCUCUUCAUUGAGUGUCGAGGUGGGCCGGUACGUUUACUUUGAACAAAUUAGAGUGCUUAAAGCAGGCUAUCUUCGCCUGAAUACUGUGUGCAUGGAAUAAUGGAAUAGGACCUCGGUUCUAUUUUGUUGGUUUUCGGAACCCCGAGGUAAUGAUUAAUAGGGACAGAUGGGGGCAUUCGUAUUGCGACGUUAGAGGUGAAAUUCUUGGAUCGUCGCAAGACGGACAGAAGCGAAAGCAUUUGCCAAAAAUGUUUUCAUUAAUCAAGAACGAAAGUUAGAGGUUCGAAGGCGAUCAGAUACCGCCCUAGUUCUAACCAUAAACGAUGCCAGCUAGCGAUCCGCCGAAGUUCCUCCGAUGACUCGGCGGGCAGCUUCCGGGAAACCAAAGCUUUUGGGUUCCGGGGGAAGUAUGGUUGCAAAGCUGAAACUUAAAGGAAU
Molecule: ribosomal RNA, 712 nt
Filed under: Zagryphus nasutus
Lineage: Eukaryota; Metazoa; Arthropoda; Insecta; Hymenoptera; Ichneumonidae
Description: SSU rRNA
Rfam family: Eukaryotic small subunit ribosomal RNA
Source: RNAcentral